Molecule: ribosomal RNA, 465 nt
Filed under: Vreelandella stevensii
Lineage: Bacteria; Pseudomonadati; Pseudomonadota; Gammaproteobacteria; Oceanospirillales; Halomonadaceae
Description: partial 16S ribosomal RNA
Rfam family: Bacterial small subunit ribosomal RNA
Source: RNAcentral
CCUACGGGGGGCUGCAGUGGGGAAUAUUGGACAAUGGGGGGAACCCUGAUCCAGCCAUGCCGCGUGUGUGAAGAAGGCCCUCGGGUUGCAAAGCACUUUCAGUGAGGAAGAACGCCUGGUGGUUAAUACCCAUCAGGAAAGACAUCACUCACAGAAGAAGCACCGGCUAACUCCGUGCCAGCAGCCGCGGUAAUACGGAGGGUGCGAGCGUUAAUCGGAAUUACUGGGCGUAAAGCGCGCGUAGGUGGCUUGAUAAGCCGGUUGUGAAAGCCCCGGGCUCAACCUGGGAACGGCAUCCGGAACUGUCAAGCUAGAGUGCAGGAGAGGAAGGUAGAAUUCCCGGUGUAGCGGUGAAAUGCGUAGAGAUCGGGAGGAAUACCAGUGGCGAAGGCGGCCUUCUGGAGUGACACUGACACUGAGGUGCGAAAGCGUGGGUAGCAAACAGGAUUAGAUACCCCAGUAGUC